UUUUACUAGUUUUCAUUUUAGAGUUUUGGUUUGUUUAUAUAAAAUAUAUAUAUAUAUUUUUUUUUGGUAAGUGAAGAACUUGGCUUUGUAAUGAAAUAUUGCUCAUAACUGACUCCUGUUCUGACAGUUGCAUUGCCUAAUCAAGAAGGACUGCUCUGGCCGGGCAUCAUGUGAUGUGUAAUGAAGCUAGUCUUGUUGAGUAACACUUCCUCUGUGUUUGUUAAGCUAAGCAGAUGUGUGAGAAGAACCUGUUAAGGAAAGCUUAUAGUGAAGCACCUCUUCAGGUUUGCUUCCCACAAGUGGAAUUGCUUAAAUGAGUGAAGGUAACGUACGCCAAAUCUGUGCUCUCCUGAGACCGAGCAUGCUAUAUCUGCAGGUGGUUAGGAACUGGCACUGAAAAGGGUUGUCCUCUGUAUAUUCUUGAUAGGAAGAAGAGUUCAGCCUACCAGGGUUUGUCCUCCCUGCCAUGGUUAUUAGUCUGGGUCUGCCCCUUUCUCUCUCCCCUCUUCAAUAGUACACCAUAACAGCAAAGGUUCUGUAGUUGCAGUGAACAUGAGAAGCCAGGGUUGGUUGUAAUAAGGAGAAUGAGACCAAAAUAUUCAAUUUUAUCUUCAGGGAAGGUGAAGGAGUAUGCAACUACAUCAAGUGGCAGAAAUAAUACUUUUUUGAAAAAUAACUUCUCCACAGGACAGAAUCUAGCCUGCUUCCUAGCUGAUGAUUUCUUGUGCCUUUAAUAUCUCUAGCUGACUACAUCUCUGCUGCUUCUGAACAGGCUGUCCUAAAGCUGCAAGUCGUAUUCCCCUCUUGAAUUGGAUACAACAGCCAUACUCCUUUUAGUCAUGGACUCUUUCAAGUGAAAGAACAGAUUCGUGUUGCACAAAGCCUGAAAUCUAGAACCAUCCUGUGUAAAUAUAGGUUUUCAUUGAACCUCUACUCUGAAAACAUUCUUCAUGGAUCAUACUGUACUGAUAAUUUUGGAAAAUGGGUGUAGGGGAGGAAGAAUCCUGUUUGUCCCUUACUUGAUGCUAACAGUUUGGAUCAGAUAUCAAGCACAUGCUAAGUGUUAUGCUCCUCACUUGACAGUAACUAACUCUUAAUGAAAGCAUGUAUUAGCUGUUAGGAUUCUGUUGUCCUUUCAACAUACCUUUUUUCCUAAGCUGAGCUCUUAGGGUGCCUGUAGAAGUGCCCAGAAGCUGCUCUAACAGACUGUAAUUAAUAGAGUCUGCUGGAGGAUGCUAAUUAACACACUUCAGCCAGCCUCUGCAUCUCAUGCAUCAGCAUCCCCUGCUUCAAAAUCAGCAUCCCUGUGGUGGGGGUGCUUUAACUAAAGCUUGUUCAAAGCUUUUACACAUGCCCCCCAGAGCAUGUUUAAAAAUGCCCUUGGAUACUGAGGUGGUUACAAAUUGGGGUCUCUUAUCUAGGCUGUUUUUUUUUUUUUUGGUUUUUUUUUUUUUGGCUGUCAGCAUUUAAAACAAACCAACCGAUACCAGCUUUAUGCCUGAUGCUACUGUGUUUUGGCUGUAAACUUUAAGGAGAAGUUUUUAAACUAAAAGAAAAUACAAAAAAUGGAGUCAACAGUUCUUAUAAAAUGUAAAGUGUUAGUUGAUUUCUGAAAUUAAAGAAUAGGGCAUUGGUGUCUGGGCAUGUCUGAAGUAGCUGAAUAAAAUCUGGAUUUAUUUGAGGUUCUCCUCA
Alligator mississippiensis (American alligator) is the source of this 1692-nucleotide long non-coding RNA. RefSeq lists it as uncharacterized. NCBI's taxonomy places the organism in Eukaryota, Metazoa, Chordata, Crocodylia, Alligatoridae. The transcript has 2 exons. The record is from RefSeq and is a predicted model, not a curated record.